This 253-nucleotide ribosomal RNA is filed under the name uncultured bacterium. RNAcentral describes it as "partial 16S ribosomal RNA". It matches the Rfam family "Bacterial small subunit ribosomal RNA", at positions 524 to 776 of the family's 1533-position model. The record is from RNAcentral.
UACGGAGGGUGCAAGCGUUGUCCGGAAUCACUGGGCGUAAAGGGCGCGUAGGCGGCUCAUGAAGGCUGUGGUGAAAGUCCGGGGCUCAACCUCGGACCGGCCGUGGCGACUCGUGGGCUGGAGCACUGUAGAGGCGGGUGGAAUUCCGGGUGUAGCGGUGGAAUGCGUAGAGAUCCGGAAGAACACCAGUGGCGAAGGCGGCCCGCUGGGCAGUGGCUGACGCUGAGGCGCGACAGCGUGGGGAGCAAACAGG